CCUCAUCUAUAAAUAGACCUCUCCUCUUCCCUUCGUCCAAGCCUAUCCAACCUUGGCCUUAAGCCAUAACUUCCGUUCUUCCUCCGCUUCUCAACCUCUCUCUCUCUCCCUCUCUCUCUCUCUGGCCCUCUUUGUAGUCUUCCACAGCUUUCUUGAACUGCAUCCAUCCUUGUAUGCUAGGUGCUUUGAGUUGCAGUUCAAUAAAGCUGUGGGAAAUUACAGAGCGAGACCAAUGAAGAAGAAGUUCUGAAGGCUCUCAGUUCCAUUCAUCUCCUUUGUUAAGAACUGAUGGGAAUUUAUUCAUGGAUCUCUCUUUUGGGAGAGUUUAUCUUCCAUCAAAACUACCGAGUUAUAAUUCUUGGACUAUCUGAUGGUUUUAACCAUCUAAUCAAAGCUAUCAAAGAGAACAAUCCCAAACCAGAUAUCUACUACAAAGGCAAUCAUAUGGAAUAUGGGACAUCCAUCUCUCUUUCAGCGAUGAGGCCAGAUGAAUCAUUUUUCCACUCCCUUGUUUUUGAUACAGAAGUGCUUAUUGGCCUUCUUUAAGUUCAGAAGGGUUUGCUCACAAUUGUGCUUUGUAACCAAUGUAUACUUGUCAAAAGUUUUGUGAAUUCUAAAUGCUACAAUGUGUAUCAUGGGCGAAUGUUCUUCAAAUUUUCACUUAAUUGUGCACCAUGUAUUGAAAAUUUGGGACAUUGUUUGGUGACUCAAUGUGUGUGGAAGGUAGCUAAGCAUGCUAAAAUAACAUAAUGGCCAAGUUCAGAUA
This is a long non-coding RNA of Phoenix dactylifera (date palm), 766 nucleotides long. RefSeq lists it as uncharacterized. NCBI's taxonomy places the organism in Eukaryota, Viridiplantae, Streptophyta, Magnoliopsida, Arecales, Arecaceae. The record is from RefSeq and is a predicted model, not a curated record.